This 253-nucleotide ribosomal RNA is filed under the name uncultured bacterium. Its description in RNAcentral is "partial 16S ribosomal RNA". It matches the Rfam family "Bacterial small subunit ribosomal RNA", at positions 524 to 776 of the family's 1533-position model. The record is from RNAcentral.
UACGAAGGGGGCUAGCGUUGCUCGGAAUCACUGGGCGUAAAGCGCACGUAGGCGGCUUCUUAAGUCAGGGGUGAAAUCCUGGAGCUCAACUCCAGAACUGCCUUUGAUACUGAGAAGCUUGAGUCCGGGAGAGGUGAGUGGAACUGCGAGUGUAGAGGUGAAAUUCGUAGAUAUUCGCAAGAACACCAGUGGCGAAGGCGGCUCACUGGCCCGGUACUGACGCUGAGGUGCGAAAGCAUGGGGAGCGAACAGG